GUGAGGAAUUUUCCGCAAUGGGCGAAAGCCUGACGGAGCAAUGCCGCGUGAAGGAUGAAGGCCUAUGGGUUGUAAACUUCUUUUCUCAGAAAAGAAUUAUGACGGUAUCUGAGGAAUAAGCAUCGGCUAACUCUGUGCCAGCAGCCGCGGUAAGACAGAGGAUGCAAGCGUUAUCCGGAAUGAUUGGGCGUAAAGCGUCUGUAGGUUGUUUAAAAAGUAUUCUGUCAAAGAUUAGGGCUUAACCCUAGAUAGGCAGAAUAAACUUUUAAGCUAGAGUUUGGUAGAGGCAGAGGGAAUUCCCGGUGGAGCGGUGAAAUGCGUAGAUAUCGGGAGGAACAACAAAGGCGAAGGCACUCUGCUGGGCCAAUACUAACACUGAGAGACGAAAGCGAGGGGAGCAAAUGGGAUUAGAUACCCGAGUAGUCC
Molecule: ribosomal RNA, 426 nt
Filed under: uncultured bacterium
Lineage: Bacteria
Description: bacterial SSU rRNA
Rfam family: Bacterial small subunit ribosomal RNA
Source: RNAcentral